GGAGAGUACCUGAAAAACACAAAAGAAAAAGAAAACCAGUAUUGAAGGGAUCAUUACGGGAUUCGGAACUUAAACCUGAGCUCUUUGAGGCACUGCACCCUGUAGGGAACCCUUCAUUUUCUGCAUAAAGUGAGUUUUGCUGAGAAAGGAUCAUGAGAUUCGACAGAUGUUAUUUUUUACUUCAAGCUAACUGCUUUAACGGAAGCCUGUUUUAUGGAUCUAUGACGCCAGUUCUGACGAAAAGUCCAAAGGCCAACUUUGUUUUUUCAGGCAGCACUGGAAAUCAAAGCGAGCCUUCUGAAGGUGGGGCAGGGAAGAGGACUUGGCUCCAACAGACUUGAAGAUAUUGCAGCAUCAGAGAUUUUCCACAGAAACAACUCACAGUGCUGGAUGUGGUUUCCUCCAGCCCAGGUCUGGCCACAUGGCUUGGCUAUUAAAUGUGUCAUGCAUUUAACUGGA
Long non-coding RNA from Cavia porcellus (domestic guinea pig), 459 nucleotides. RefSeq lists it as uncharacterized. Lineage: Eukaryota; Metazoa; Chordata; Mammalia; Rodentia; Caviidae. The record is from RefSeq and is a predicted model, not a curated record. The transcript is spliced from 2 exons.